Molecule: long non-coding RNA, 4236 nt
Organism: Trifolium pratense (red clover)
Lineage: Eukaryota; Viridiplantae; Streptophyta; Magnoliopsida; Fabales; Fabaceae
Exons: 13
Source: RefSeq, a predicted model, not a curated record
AAAAGACUUGUUCUCUCUCUCAUGAAUGAGUUUGUUUAUGCUCGGUGAAAGGGAUAGUUUCUUGAUUAGGGUUCAUUGUUAUCACUAUUGCUAUUAUUACAAGCUUUCAUUAUCAAUCUUUUUAACUUUUGAAUUCAAUUUCAUUCUAAUUAAUAAUCAAUCAUUCGUUCUCCGUCAUUCAUCACAACACAACGCUAAAUUACCUCACAACACAACGCAACACAACACGUUCUUGCAACCCGCUCACUCGACUCGCUCCGUAACUCGUUCUCUUCGUUUUCGACUUUUUCAUCAUGCCGAAGGCUAAAGCUGAUUCUAAAUCCGCUGAUAACAGAGUAAGGGUGCAGGAACAUGAAGGAAACAAAUGAACAAAGUCGCUAAGGAUCCUAACAAGCCGAAGAAUCCUCCAAGUGUUUUAUUCGUUUUCAUGUAUGAUUAGUCGAACCCUAGAAAUUAGAUUUGAACUGUCCCCUAAAAUCUACACGGAAUAUCACAUGCUAUUUUAGGGUUUCAUGAUUCUGAAUGCAAUCUACAUGUGAAUGCUUCAUAACCUAACAUGUAAAUGGAGAAGACCCUUGGUGCCUUAGAUGGAAAAUUGAAUAUAUGUGAAUUUAGUUCCGUAUUCAUUUCCAAGUUAUUUGGUAGUUUCUUGCUGCUUAAAAGAGCUACAGAAAUAAAGAAAGCUUCUAAAUGAGUGAUUGUUGAACUGAAUUCAACUGAGUAGAAUCCAUCUUUCAAUGGCUACAAAAUGAAUAAAGGACAUGUGGCUGAUUGAUUGAUAUAUACACUAUUAUCAUCAAAUCUUUUUUGGCUGCGGUUCGUGAUUCUGAAAUCAGGCUUACCAAAUACGCAGAUUGGUUUGAAUGCAAUUUCUAGAUCAUUUUCACAGAGAAGUAUGGCAAAAAAGAUACAGGUCAUUGGAAAGGCUCGCGUGCCAAUUAUUAAAUUCGUUGAAAAGAAGAGUGGUCUUUCCCGUUAUACGCUUAUUGCUUAUGCCACUUAAUGAUGUUAAUGUCAUUAUAAUAUUUUAGCUUACUGUUAAUUUAUUUAUAUAAUUGUAUAUGAUAUUAGGUUAGAUGUUGGAUGAAGUAUUUAACUUGAACCUCUCUGCAUAUGUUGAUUUUUUAUGAUUUUCUGUAUUUGCGCAAACUACUAAUUGAAACUUCUGAAAAAUACAUGAUGACUUUUAAUUUAUUGUCUGUAUUGGGGAGUGGGGUUAUUUUGCAAUACCAUAUGCUGUAUCUGUCGUGGGAAAAUUUCUGUGACAUGGUAUAUAAUAUGCACCAUAUGAAGGCGUUAUAUUGUGAACUGUGUUAUAUUGAUCAAGCCAUCAAGGUGCUAAGAAGUGAUAUUUCUUUAAUUUAAGGGACCUAUUAAGAAACCUAAAAGAGAAAGUUUUAUGUUGAAAAAAUAACUAUUUAGACUUUUUAGAAGUUGACUACACAAUUUUCAAUAAAAUACACUACUAUAUUAGGUUCCUUAACAAGUGCCCUAAUUUAAUUAAUAGUUAAUUAAAGAAAUACAACAACUUGGAAGCAUAUAAUGACACGCCACUUUUACAUCAUUUUCGUGUAGGAUUAUAUUACAGCUUGCAUGUGGUACUUGAAUUAUUGCCUGAGGGUUCUUAUUUGAAUUACAUAUGUCAUCUCGAGUUGUUUUGCUUGAUUAGAGUACUCUAACUUCAAACUUUUUUAUUCAAUAUUCUAUUAUUUUUGUUUCAAAUUCCAAGUCAUGAAUGUAUUGCCCCUAGUGUGGGCAACACGUUCCUAUUUCUGCAUUGCACAUUUUUUAAAUUAUUCACAAUACCUUUGAAGUUAAAAUUCCAAUAAGAUUUGAAAACAAAAGCCCUCGAAAUACAAACAUUUUUAAAACUCUACCUGCACUGAGAAAUAUCUCUUUUUCCCAUUUUCUUGAAGGUAUAAAAAUUAAAAUGAACAAAAUAAAUUCUUUUGGGGAUUCAGUGUUGGACUUUACAUUAUGUAUAUUCUUCUUCUCGGUUGAACCAAUGAAUUUGCAGGAAGCAGUGGCUAAGUGGCCUCAACUGCAGCCGUUGUGUUUGAUUUUGAAAGUAUUUUUACACCAAUGAGAACUUAAUGAGUAUGCAGGUAUAUUCUGGUGGGAUUGGUUCGUAUGCUCUCCUUACCAUGCCGAUGGCGAUGUUACGGCCUUCACCAUAUGGUCCACUUACAUAUGAUCCAGCUACAUAUCAACAAAAAUGGAUCUUAAAGUUCACUUUUUUUUCUCUUUUUUUUUUCUUUUGCUUUUGUGCUGUGAAACACUUGUUUUCACCUAUGUCGUCUCUAAGUCCGUGACCAUUACAUUCUUCAGAAUGUUCAUCAGAACCAACCUACUGCAGAGCACAACUUCGGGGUCCUUUUGGUACAUUUCUUUGAUGUUUAUGGACGUAAAUUAAAUACCUUCAGAUGUUGGUGUACCGUGCAUUGGAGAAGGUACCUUUUUCUGAAAGAGCAGUAGAGGGUUUUACAACAAAGCACAGUCAUUUCUUCUCAGCAUUCAGGAUCCGAUAAGGUUCUCUUUGAUGAACUGCCUUUUGUCUUUGUCUGAUCCAGACAGAAGCUGCGAUUGCUUCGAGUCUGAUACGGGCUGACGAUUUGCAGAAUGCUACCGCGACUGAGCCUGGGCGAUUCGAAUGUAAUAAUUUUGCAUCCCUUUGCGUCGCAUGUUAAUAAAUUUGGGAUUGGAAUAUACAUCCGUGACGACCUUGGUCAAUUUGUGCUUUCAAAGUCAUAAUAGAUUGUCCUUCUUUGUGGAGUGGAUGCUGGUGAACCCCUUUUGGUCUGAUGUAGAUAGAACCUACGACUGCUUCGGGUCUGAUACGGCCUAGUCUUUGCCGAAUGCUACAGCGGCCGAGCCUGGUGCGGCAAAGUUAAUUGGAAAAGGGCAAUAAAAAUGUCUGAUACAUGUAGAACCUAUGACUGCUUCGGGUCUGAUAUGGGCUAGUCGUUUACCGACUGCUACAGUGUCUGAGCCUCAUGCGGCGCAGACAUAUUGGGCUGCUGUUAAUUGGAAAAGGGCAAUUCAAAUGUAAGAUUGAUGCAUCGUCUGCAACGCAUUGCAUUUUCAAUGUGAAUGCUUAUUGAUAACUACAAAAGUAAGUUGAGAAUACCCUUGGCGCCUUAGAUGCAAGAUUGAAUAUAUGUCCCUCAAUGUCCGUAAAUUGAAUAUAUGUUCCUCGAUGUGAUCUGAAUGCAAUUUCAAUGUGAGUGCUUAAUCUUGAUUAUCCGACAAUGUGGUAAAUUGGGGAAUCUUGAUUAUUCAAACAUAAGAAGGCUAAUUUGGCAAGUAAGAAAUUGUGUAAUGGCUAGAGGAAUUCUUAAGACCAUACUCCGUUUUCCACAACGAAAUUUCUCUUGACAUUCCCCAAGUCUAUUCGGUUUAUUCAUUUACCCCUGAUUUCUUCUCCCUUGAUGUCAUCGGAGAAACUGAAGCCGAAGAUACCCUCCUCGAGCCUAUCACGCUGGUUGAGCCGAAGUCGCCGACUAUUGAACACGAGCUGACGCUAGGUGGUUGGUUUCAUGGGAAUUGCAAAUUCAGGAGCCCAUGCUUCAGCUUCAUAUAGAGAUAGUGAAUUUUUGUCACCUACUCCAGAAGAGAAAGCUAAACGUGUUGAAGCAAUAGAAUCUGUUUUUGGAGUUAUAAAAUAUAUAUGGCCUCAUUAUCAGGUUCUGAAGUUAACUGCACUUAUCACUACGAAUUUUCAAGGGUUGAGUGUUCCCCUUCCCCUCAUGCUAUAUGCAUCCAGAAAUUAUGUUACUGUAUGUAAAUUUAAUAAUACCUUUAUAUUGCUUUUAAGCCAAUAAUAUAUUAUUUGCAAUUCGUAUUGUUUUAUACUUUGAAGUAUAUUAAAUUAUGCAAAUGAUGUUUCCUAUGUUCGUUGUAGAAGGUAUGAAUAACUACAACUUACUGCAUAAUUAUAUUUAUAAGGCUAUAAAUGGUAGCAGUCUCAUUAUGUAAAAUAAUAUCUUAUUGCAUUUUUUAUAGUAUUUAAAUAAUGAUAUGUAAUCCCAUAAGUACAACUCAGUUUAUAACUACAAAGACAUAGAUUUGCUGAUCAUGAGUUCAAACUCAGAAUUCUUCAUUUUUAACACUUAAGGUGAAAAUCAAUCCAUGUGUAAUAUAAAGUGAAAAUUUUAUAAGUAUGUAUUUAAGAACCAUUAUUGUUAUUAUUAAUUUCUUUUUUGUUGGUAAAAAUUGUUAUUAUUUCCAUUAUUAUUA